RNAcentral lists this ribosomal RNA (425 nucleotides) under uncultured bacterium. RNAcentral describes it as "partial 16S ribosomal RNA". It matches the Rfam family "Bacterial small subunit ribosomal RNA", at positions 354 to 796 of the family's 1533-position model. The record is from RNAcentral.
GUGGGGAAUAUUGGACAAUGGGCGAAAGCCUGAUCCAGCCAUGCCGCGUGAGUGAUGAAGGCCUUAGGGUUGUAAAGCUCUUUCAGUAGGGAAGAUAAUGACGGUACCUACAGAAGAAGCCCCGGCUAACUUCGUGCCAGCAGCCGCGGUAAUACGAAGGGGGCUAGCGUUGUUCGGAUUUACUGGGCGUAAAGCGCACGUAGGCGGAUUGGUCAGUUAGAGGUGAAAUCCUGGAGCUCAACUCCAGAACUGCCUUUAAUACUGCCAGUCUAGAGUCCAGAAGAGGUGAGUGGAACUCCUAGUGUAGAGGUGGAAUUCGUAGAUAUUAGGAAGAACACCAGUGGCGAAGGCGGCUCACUGGCUCGAUACUGACGCUGAGGUGCGAAAGCGUGGGGAGCAAACAGGAUUAGAAACCCGAGUAGUCC